This 420-nucleotide ribosomal RNA is filed under the name bacterium. RNAcentral's name for it is "partial 16S ribosomal RNA". It matches the Rfam family "Bacterial small subunit ribosomal RNA", at positions 355 to 776 of the family's 1533-position model. The record is from RNAcentral.
UGGGGGAUAUUGCACAAUGGGCGAAAGCCUGAUGCAGCGACGCCGCGUGGGGGAUGAAGGCUUUCGGGUUGUAAACCUCUUUCGCUAUCGAACAAGGCCCGCUUAGGGUGGGUUGAGGGUAGGCGGAGAAGAAGCGCCGGCUACCUACGUGCCAGCAGCCGCGGUAAUACGUAGGGCGCGAGCGUUGUCCGGAAUUGUUGGGCGUAAAGGGCUUGUAGGCGGCUUGUUGCGCCUGCUGUGAAAACGCGGGGCUUAACUUCGCGCGUGCAGUGGGUACGGGCAGGCUUGAGUGUGGUAGGGGUGACUGGAAUUCCAGGUGUAGCGGUGGAAUGCGCAGAUAUCUGGAGGAACACCGAUGGCGAAGGCAGGUCACUGGGCCAUUACUGACGCUGAGGAGCGAAAGCAUGGGUAGCGAACAGG